UCGUGAAAGUCCGGGGCUUAACCCCGGAUCUGCGGUGGGUACGGGCAGACUAGAGUGCAGUAGGGGAGACUGGAAUUCCUGGUGUAGCGGUGGAAUGCGCAGAUAUCAGGAGGAACACCGAUGGCGAAGGCAGGUCUCUGGGCUGUAACUGACGCUGAGGAGCGAAAGCAUGGGGAGCGAACAGGAUUAGAUACCCUGGUAGUCCAUGCCGUAAACGUUGGGCACUAGGUGUGGGGACCAUUCCACGGUUUCCGCGCCGCAGCUAACGCAUUAAGUGCCCCGCCUGGGGAGUACGGCCGCAAGGCUAAAACUCAAAGGAAUUGACGGGGGCCCGCACAAGCGGCGGAGCAUGCGGAUUAAUUCGAUGCAACGCGAAGAACCUUACCAAGGCUUGACAUGUUCUCGAUCGCCGUAGAGAUACGGUUUCCCCUUUGGGGCGGGUUCACAGGUGGUGCAUGGUUGUCGUCAGCUCGUGUCGUGAGAUGUUGGGUUAAGUCCCGCAACGAGCGCAACCCUCGUUCCAUGUUGCCAGCACGUCGUGGUGGGGACUCAUGGGAGACUGCCGGGGUCAACUCGGAGGAAGGUGAGGACGACGUCAAAUCAUCAUGCCCCUUAUGUCUUGGGCUUCACGCAUGCUACAAUGGCCGGUACAAUGGGUUGCGAUACUGUGAGGUGGAGCUAAUCCCAAAAAGCCGGUCUCAGUUCGGAUUGGGGUCUGCAACUCGACCCCAUGAAGUCGGAGUCGCUAGUAAUCGCAGAUCAGCAACGCUGCGGUGAAUACGUUCCCGGGCCUUGUACACACCCGCCCGUAAAG
RNAcentral lists this ribosomal RNA (814 nucleotides) under Micrococcus sp. RNAcentral's name for it is "bacterial SSU rRNA". It matches the Rfam family "Bacterial small subunit ribosomal RNA", at positions 592 to 1401 of the family's 1533-position model. Lineage: Bacteria; Bacillati; Actinomycetota; Actinomycetes; Micrococcales; Micrococcaceae. The record is from RNAcentral.